Molecule: ribosomal RNA, 584 nt
Filed under: Shewanella algae
Lineage: Bacteria; Pseudomonadati; Pseudomonadota; Gammaproteobacteria; Alteromonadales; Shewanellaceae
Description: bacterial SSU rRNA
Rfam family: Bacterial small subunit ribosomal RNA
Source: RNAcentral
UGCAGCCAUGCCGCGUGUGUGAAGAAGGCCUUCGGGUUGUAAAGCACUUUCAGCGAGGAGGAAAGGGUGUAAGUUAAUACCUUACAUCUGUGACGUUACUCGCAGAAGAAGCACCGGCUAACUCCGUGCCAGCAGCCGCGGUAAUACGGAGGGUGCGAGCGUUAAUCGGAAUUACUGGGCGUAAAGCGUGCGCAGGCGGUUUGUUAAGCGAGAUGUGAAAGCCCCGGGCUCAACCUGGGAACCGCAUUUCGAACUGGCAAACUAGAGUCUUGUAGAGGGGGGUAGAAUUCCAGGUGUAGCGGUGAAAUGCGUAGAGAUCUGGAGGAAUACCGGUGGCGAAGGCGGCCCCCUGGACAAAGACUGACGCUCAGGCACGAAAGCGUGGGGAGCAAACAGGAUUAGAUACCCUGGUAGUCCACGCCGUAAACGAUGUCUACUCGGAGUUUGGUGUCUUGAACACUGGGCUCUCAAGCUAACGCAUUAAGUAGACCGCCUGGGGAGUACGGCCGCAAGGUUAAAACUCAAAUGAAUUGACGGGGGCCCGCACAAGCGGUGGAGCAUGUGGUUUAAUUCGAUGCAACGCG